GAGGGCAUAGCUCAGUGGUAGAGUGCGUGCUUAGCAUGUAUGAGGUCCUGGGUUCAGUUCCCAGUACCUCCA
Molecule: transfer RNA, 72 nt
Filed under: Camelus bactrianus (Bactrian camel)
Lineage: Eukaryota; Metazoa; Chordata; Mammalia; Artiodactyla; Camelidae
Also listed under: 2 other names
Rfam family: tRNA
About the family: Transfer RNA (tRNA) molecules are approximately 80 nucleotides in length. Their secondary structure includes four short double-helical elements and three loops (D, anti-codon, and T loops).
Source: Rfam by way of RNAcentral